This 256-nucleotide ribosomal RNA is filed under the name uncultured bacterium. RNAcentral's name for it is "partial 16S ribosomal RNA". It matches the Rfam family "Bacterial small subunit ribosomal RNA", at positions 524 to 777 of the family's 1533-position model. The record is from RNAcentral.
GACGGAGGGUGCUAGCGUUGUUCGGAAUCACUGGGCGUAAAGCGCACGUAGGCGGGUCGUUUAAGUCGGGGGUGAAAUCCUGGAGCUCAACUCCAGAACUGCCUUCGAUACUGGCGACCUUGAGUCCGGGAGAGGUGAGUGGAACUCCGGAGUGUAGAGGUGAAAUUCGUAGAUAUUCGGAAGAACACCAGUGGCGAAGGCGGCUCACUGGCCCGGUACUGACGCUGAGGUGCGAAAGCGUGGGGAGCAAACAGGG